This is a long non-coding RNA of Xenopus laevis (African clawed frog), 1137 nucleotides long. RefSeq lists it as uncharacterized. The record is from RefSeq and is a predicted model, not a curated record. The transcript has 2 exons. Lineage: Eukaryota; Metazoa; Chordata; Amphibia; Anura; Pipidae.
UUUUGAGGGCCUAUCGUCAAAUCCCCGCUGCGCAUGCGCACUGUUCAUUGUUGACAGGGAAGAUAAUGGAUUCUUGUACCUUACCUGCUGCUUACAGCUUGUCUUCCUCACCCACACAGCUUCGGCCAGGACUCUUUAUAUUUAAAUGUAAAAAAUGUAUUAUACAGACGAGAAACACUUAUCACUUCCUCUGAAAGCGUGAUUUGUGAUGGAAGCUGGUGGGGGUGGAGCAAGUGCCCAGGUAAUCAGAAGAGCAGCGAGAGAGAUAUAUAUGCAUGACAGCAUCAUGGAAUCUACAGUAUUACCCUUAAUUUACAUCGUUGGAAUUCGCAUUUUCCAUUUUUUUACCUGUGGCCUCAUCAUUUCUAAGGGGUCUUUUCAUGUAUUUUACACUAGUUAAUCAGCCUUGUCCUUUGCCAAACAUUUAAAAAAAAAAAAUACCUGUUAUAUGCAUCGUUCAUACACCUUUUUGUAAAGUUUCAAUGUGGAUGCAACCGCGUGUUAUGACACUAUGAUAGGUGCUGUGCUGAAGGAGCAGAAGGGACCGGGGCACAAGGAAAGUGGCUACUGGAUUGAAGAAGGAGGGGGCGAGAGAGGGAAAGAAGGCUGUAAGAAUCUGUUUGGGAAGAAUGAAGCACAUGCUUAAGUUGGAGAAAGACCCUGGGGCAUAAGAUUGUGAGUAGAAACAGAAGUGACAGGUGUUCUAGAGAAGGAAAGUUUGGAGGGAUAGAGUUAGAGGCUGUUUGGAGAGGGAGGCUAAAGGGACGAGGAACACGACCGUGACAAACAAAGAGAGGUGGCUGCUGUGUAACAAGCAGUCUGGGUAGGAAGAGAAAGGGACUGGGCCACAAGACUGGAGUACAUAGGAAUGGGGGAAGUCACAAAGAGUGUUGAUAUAGCUUUAGUGUUUUGGUUGAAACAUGAUAACUUAUAAAUUAAUUUUUUUAUAUUUAAAAACUCCUACGUUUUUCUGCAUUCUUAACAUGUAAUGUUUUACUGUUUUUUUUUUUACAUGGUCCCUUGAAAAAAGUUAAUUUGUGUCUACUGUAUAUUGUUGGACCUCUUUUGCUUGCGUAUUUGUAAUGUUUUUUUUUUUGUUUAUUAAAAUUGAUUCCUUACCGUGUGCUAUUCUGAAAA